UACGAAGGGGGCUAGCGUUGUUCGGAAUCACUGGGCGUAAAGCGCACGUAGGCGGAUCUUUAAGUCAGGGGUGAAAUCCCGGGGCUCAACCUCGGAACUGCCUUUGAUACUGGGGAUCUCGAGUCCGGGAGAGGUGAGUGGAACUGCGAGUGUAGAGGUGAAAUUCGUAGAUAUUCGCAAGAACACCAGUGGCGAAGGCGGCUCACUGGCCCGGAACUGACGCUGAGGUGCGAAAGCGUGGGGAGCAAACAGG
RNAcentral lists this ribosomal RNA (253 nucleotides) under uncultured bacterium. RNAcentral describes it as "partial 16S ribosomal RNA". It matches the Rfam family "Bacterial small subunit ribosomal RNA", at positions 524 to 776 of the family's 1533-position model. The record is from RNAcentral.